Long non-coding RNA from Papaver somniferum (opium poppy), 2403 nucleotides. RefSeq lists it as uncharacterized. NCBI's taxonomy places the organism in Eukaryota, Viridiplantae, Streptophyta, Magnoliopsida, Ranunculales, Papaveraceae. The record is from RefSeq and is a predicted model, not a curated record. The transcript has 12 exons.
CUUCGGCUGUUGCCUCUCUUCCCUUCCUCUCAAACGAUGAAAUCAUCACAGAAAUAUCUUCAAUCGUCAAUCUAAGGUUUGAAGAACUGAUUUGUUAAUCCAACUUAAAAGGGUUUGUGUUGCUUAUCAAAAUUAGAACUUUGAAGAACUGGUCAGAGUUGGAACUGUUUGGGUCAUUCUUAAGUGUCAUGCCAAAAAUUAAAGUUGGAAUAUUUAGAGGAGCUGCUGUUGGAUCAGUCGCUGAUCUGAUUAUUGGUUAUGGAACGGAAUACUGAACUGAGUUUGUUGAAUUUACCACUGCCAGCGGAGCUCAAGAUGGACAUCCUUAGCCAUUUUUUCUUGUCCCUGCAAAAUAAUACAACGAAAACACAGAGAGCUUUGUCUGCCGUUGAUAUAGUGAAGGGUGGGAAAGUAAGGGAUGUGAACUUGGGUAACUGGUUGGUUGUUGAGAGAUGGAUGAAGCCUGGACUAUUUGAUGGCAUUGCCCCAAUCCAGAUAUGCUCGACGGAGCAAAUGUUCGUUUCAGAUCUCUGAAGUUUAAUGAGUAUAUAAGUGCAAAAAAUGGAGGAGGUUCAGGUGUCUUUGUGGACCAAGAAAAAGCCAUUUAUUGGGAAACCUUCAGAUUAUGGAGGGUAACUCGGUCGGAAUAUCAGUUUCGUGGCUUCACUAAACAGUUUCUAUCCUGUACUGGACAAGGGGCCUCUGUCACUGCAACAUCCAUAUCACCAUCAAAGACGGAAACAUUUACUAUUUGAAAGAGGGGAGGACAAGAAAGUUUGUAUCAAACAUGCUAGUGGUAAAUAUCUGCAGGCGUCCUCUGGAAAUGAGCUCAAAGAAGAUUAUCCAGGGAUCCCAGGAUGGGAUGAUGAUGGUAGUGCAGCCAUUUUUGAAAUGACUUUUGAUCAUAGUGAUCCUGCUGGCGAUUUGCAAGGAGAGUACCAUCUAUCUAAUGGGCUUGGACCCGAAAAGGCAAACGAAGUUCUUACUGCACAUAGGAACAAUUACGUCACAGGAGAAGACUUUCAGUUCCUUAGCCAACAUACUAUCAACACCGUGAGGAUUCCUGUUGGGUGGUGGAUUAUCGAAGAUCCCAAUCCGCCAGCUCCUUAUGUUGCGGGAAGUUUGGCAUCUCUAGAUAAUGCAUUCAAAUUGGCACAAGGGAGAAAUUCUGUGAAGGCACAAGGAGAUCUAAAGUUGCUUGAGAGGUGAUAUAUGUAUACCCUAUGUUGUCCAACUUUCUUUGUCCCCUGGGAUGCUGCAAGGAGAUCAAUGGUUAUCCUGGUGACUGUUAGUAAGUUUCGAUACACUAAAUUGAGGUGUUUUAGAUUCAUGUUCAUUUUAUGUCUCCGACUAUUAGUAAUUUGGUAAUGUGCUUGUUUGAUCCCAAGUUGGUCGCAAAAAACGAAUUAUUCGAGUGAGAAUGUGGACGGUUAUUUUUCUUACAACUUUUGAAGCAAGAAGAAGUGUAUUGUACUGGCAUUAAUUCUAGGUUCAAGCUAUAAUCGUCGCAGUUUAACAGUUUCUUGUCAGCUUCCAUACCAGGUUUGUUUUUUUGCAUCAGAUUCGGAGAAGCUCCUGCGAAUGUCAUAAUGAAUAGUUUUGCAGCCAUUGCUCACUGCAACGUGGGUAGAUUACACUAGGAAAAAUGAUGCUGUUCACCUUCUUUGGCUCUAUGGAGUUGAUUCAUUCAGGUGAAAUGGCUGAAUAAGGAGCAACAACAUUAACAACAAAUUCUUGCACGGCAGCAACAACAGCAGAUCCUAAUACCACCACAACAUCAGCUUCACUUGCAGUUGCAACCUCAGCAAUUUUCACUGCAGACAUAUUCAUGGAGCCAAAUCAGUUAACAAAAAAGGAGCUUCAAGAUUUGUGAACCUGAGAUGAACGGAAUGAAUGUGAUUCUGAAAUGAAUGAAUGUUCUUCUGCAUACAUCGAAGAAAUUGUUGUUGAGAGUGGUUAUGAAUGUAUUGAAAGGUGCAUGCACAGUAUUGAAUUUAGAAUUCCGACAUAUUUUCGGCAGAAAAAUUACUGUCAGUCAGCCUUGACCUAGUCAAGGUUGACCAGCGGUAAUCUUUUUGUUGUUACAAAAAAAGUUUGUAACGGCUUGAAUUUGUUACAAUCUGCCACGUAGUAUCGGCUCCAACGUUAUGACAGCGUUGUUAUAAAAAAAAUACGUAACGGCCUUUUACCACGUGGAAUAUUAGUUCUGCUCGCAGCUGUUACGGGGGCCGUUACAAACAUAAUUCGUUAGAAAAAAUGUAACAACCUCUUUUGCAACAGGCGGGAUCCGCUACAACUCGUUUUAGUAACGGCUUACGUCUGUUACGAAUCCAGGAAUUUGGUAUAGUGAUCUCGAUUAUGUCAUGAGAUCUUGUUGGUACUUUAUUAAGGUAAAAUUGACGU